ACACCGAGGAGACCCUGUCAGCAUUCUGUCUCUGAGGCAGGGGGCAGCAGGAGCAACCUGCGGGGAGGCUGGCACAACUACACCUGCAUGCUACAGCUCUGUGCUCCACAUUGCACACCUUUUUCUUAUUGAAGUCUUUGAGGGAAAAGAUCUGAUCUGACUGACUCUCCCUGCAGGUCAUUGUGAUUCAGGUGAUCUAGCCAGAGUCCACCCUGAAAGGCACUGAGCUGGAUCGUGAGUCUUCUCACAGAAGGGAAGAGCAUGGAGAGAAGAAGCCCUCAACGAGUGUGGAAUGGGAAGCAGACACCUUCUGCACAGAGCAGGAGAGAAGGGUCUCAGUUGGAGUCUUGGGACAGAUGAGUGCUGCUGCUGAAGGGAAAACCUACUCGAAGCUGAAUUGGUGGACUUUGUUCAAUAAAGGCUGUUACUCAAAUGUAUUUAUUUAAGUCUGAGCCUUCCUUUCCAAUUGAUAGACCAAAAAACUAACAUCUGAGAGGAAAAAAAUCUCAUCACAUCUCUCUCCAGCUCUUCCCUCUAUCUCUGCCAUCCAUCCCUGGGCCUUAACCUGGACAUGGUGUAGCCACCGCCCACGUUCCUCUCUGGCCCUGGAGCCCCAGUGGACUGCAUCACCACUGGUGCGGGGAUCCACCCGAGCAGGCUCAGGCAGCUUUAUUCACCCACUGUACCUGCCAUCACACCUCAGUGGAGCUACUUAAUAAACACAACACACUGUGAAGUGUUUUUAAACCC
Molecule: long non-coding RNA, 750 nt
Organism: Peromyscus maniculatus bairdii (prairie deer mouse)
Lineage: Eukaryota; Metazoa; Chordata; Mammalia; Rodentia; Cricetidae
Source: RefSeq, a predicted model, not a curated record